GACGAACGCUGGCGGCGUGCCUAAUACAUGCAAGUCGAACGCUGAAGGAGGAGCUUGCUUCUCUGGAUGAGUUGCGAACGGGUGAGUAACGCGUAGGUAACCUGCCUGGUAGCGGGGGAUAACUAUUGGAAACGAUAGCUAAUACCGCAUAAUAGUAGAUGUUGCAUGACAUUUGCUUAAAAGGUGCAAUUGCAUCACUACCAGAUGGACCUGCGUUGUAUUAGCUAGUUGGUGGGGUAACGGCUCACCAAGGCGACGAUACAUAGCCGACCUGAGAGGGUGAUCGGCCACACUGGGACUGAGACACGGCCCAGACUCCUACGGGAGGCAGCAGUAGGGAAUCUUCGGCAAUGGACGGAAGUCUGACCGAGCAACGCCGCGUGAGUGAAGAAGGGUUUCGGAUCGUAAAGCUCUGUUGUAAGAGAAGAACGAGUGUGAGAGUGGAAAGUUCACACUGUGACGGUAGCUUACCAGAAAGGGACGGCUAACUACGUG
This 495-nucleotide ribosomal RNA is filed under the name uncultured bacterium. Its description in RNAcentral is "partial 16S ribosomal RNA". It matches the Rfam family "Bacterial small subunit ribosomal RNA", at positions 28 to 507 of the family's 1533-position model. The record is from RNAcentral.